Molecule: ribosomal RNA, 1373 nt
Filed under: uncultured bacterium
Lineage: Bacteria
Description: bacterial SSU rRNA
Rfam family: Bacterial small subunit ribosomal RNA
Source: RNAcentral
GAUGAACGCUGGCGGCGUGCCUAAUACAUGCAAGUCGAGCGAACAGAUAAGGAGCUUGCUCCUUUGAAGUUAGCGGCGGACGGGUGAGUAACACGUGGGUAACCUACCUAUAAGACUGGGAUAACUUCGGGAAACCGGAGCUAAUACCGGAUAACAUUUAGAACCGCAUGGUUCUAAAGUGAAAGAUGGUUUUGCUAUCACUUAUAGAUGGACCCGCGCCGUAUUAGCUAGUUGGUAAGGUAACGGCUUACCAAGGCGACGAUACGUAGCCGACCUGAGAGGGUGAUCGGCCACACUGGAACUGAGACACGGUCCAGACUCCUACGGGAGGCAGCAGUAGGGAAUCUUCCGCAAUGGGCGAAAGCCUGACGGAGCAACGCCGCGUGAGUGAUGAAGGGUUUCGGCUCGUAAAACUCUGUUAUUAGGGAAGAACAAAUGUGUAAGUAACUGUGCACAUCUUGACGGUACCUAAUCAGAAAGCCACGGCUAACUACGUGCCAGCAGCCGCGGUAAUACGUAGGUGGCAAGCGUUAUCCGGAAUUAUUGGGCGUAAAGCGCGCGUAAGCGGUUUCUUAAGUCUGAUGUGAAAGCCCACGGCUCAACCGUGGAGGGUCAUUGGAAACUGGGAAACUUGAGUGCAGAAGAGGAAAGUGGAAUUCCAUGUGUAGCGGUGAAAUGCGCAGAGAUAUGGAGGAACACCAGUGGCGAACGCGACUUUCUGGUCUGUAACUGACGCUGAUGUGCGAAAGCGUGGGGAUCAAACAGGAUUAGAUACCCUGGUAGCUCCACGCCGUAAACGAUGAGUGCUAAGUGUUAGGGGGUUUCCGCCCCUUAGUGCUGCAGCUAACGCAUUAAGCACUCCGCCUGGGGAGUACGACCGCAAGGUUGAAACUCAAAGGAAUUGACGGGGACCCGCACAAGCGGUGGAGCAUGUGGUUUAAUUCGAAGCAACGCGAAGAACCUUACCAAAUCUUGACAUCCUUUGAAAACUCUAGAGAUAGAGCCUUCCCCUUCGGGGGACAAAGUGACAGGUGGUGCAUGGUUGUCGUCAGCUCGUGUCGUGAGAUGUUGGGUUAAGUCCCGCAACGAGCGCAACCCUUAAGCUUAGUUGCCAUCAUUAAGUUGGGCACUCUAGGUUGACUGCCGGUGACAAACCGGAGGAAGGUGGGGAUGACGUCAAAUCAUCAUGCCCCUUAUGAUUUGGGCUACACACGUGCUACAAUGGACAAUACAAAGGGCAGCUAAACCGCGAGGUCAUGCAAAUCCCAUAAAGUUGUUCUCAGUUCGGAUUGUAGUCUGCAACUCGACUACAUGAAGCUGGAAUCGCUAGUAAUCGUAGAUCAGCAUGCUACGGUGAAUACGUUCCCGGGUCU